CUACUAACUACAACCACUUCACAUACAAGGAUAAUUAAUACUCAAGUUAUUUCUUUAUACUAAGAGACUGAUACUUUGUACUACAGGAGUGUACUGUGUCCUAUGCAUCAUUUGACCAGGCAGUCGAGUUAGUUCGGAAGGGAGGACGCGGGGUGCUGAUGUCUAAGGUGGACGUUGAAUCAGUGUUUUGACUCUUGCCGAUUCACCCAGCUUGUCACCAUCUGUUGAGUUGUUCUUUCAACAGGGCAUAUUUUGUGGAUAUCUGUUUACCUAUAGGAUGAGCCAUGUUGUGUGCGUAUUUUGAGAAGUUUAGCACCUUCUUGGAAUGGGUUGUAUGGGAGGAGUCGGGGGGGUGCAAUAGUGCAUUACCUCAAUGAUUUUUUGUGUGUGAGCCCGGCUGGGUCUAACCAGUGUGGCCAUACUUUGAGGUUACUGGAAUGGGUGGCUCUUACUUUUGGGGUCCCACUCACGGCGGACAAGAUGGUGGUCCCCACCAAGAGUCUCAGCUUCCUGGGUUUGGAGAUUGAUUCGGUCAAAGGGGAAUGUCGCUUGCCUGAAGAUAAACUGAUCACACUUCGUCAGUUGGUCAGGGAUGUCCAGGCAGCGCGGAAGGUUAUGCUUCAGGUCUUACAGUAACUGCUGGAGAGUCUCAACUUUGCUUGUUGGGUGAUACCUAAAGGUC
Pelobates cultripes (western spadefoot toad) is the source of this 682-nucleotide non-coding RNA. The record is from the annotation of a GenBank genome assembly. Lineage: Eukaryota; Metazoa; Chordata; Amphibia; Anura; Pelobatidae.